RNAcentral lists this ribosomal RNA (465 nucleotides) under Pseudomonas sp. oral taxon D11. RNAcentral describes it as "bacterial SSU rRNA". It matches the Rfam family "Bacterial small subunit ribosomal RNA", at positions 30 to 489 of the family's 1533-position model. Lineage: Bacteria; Pseudomonadati; Pseudomonadota; Gammaproteobacteria; Pseudomonadales; Pseudomonadaceae. The record is from RNAcentral.
AUUGAACGCUGGCGGCAGGCCUAACACAUGCAAGUCGAGCGGUAGAGAGGAGCUUGCUUCUCUUGAGAGCGGCGGACGGGUGAGUAAUGCCUAGGAAUCUGCCUGGUAGUGGGGGAUAACGUUCGGAAACGGACGCUAAUACCGCAUACGUCCUACGGGAGAAAGCAGGGGACCUUCGGGCCUUGCGCUAUCAGAUGAGCCUAGGUCGGAUUAGCUAGUUGGUGAGGUAAUGGCUCACCAAGGCGACGAUCCGUAACUGGUCUGAGAGGAUGAUCAGUCACACUGGAACUGAGACACGGUCCAGACUCCUACGGGAGGCAGCAGUGGGGAAUAUUGGACAAUGGGCGAAAGCCUGAUCCAGCCAUGCCGCGUGUGUGAAGAAGGUCUUCGGAUUGUAAAGCACUUUAAGUCGGGAGGAAGGGCAGUAAAUUAAUACUUUGCUGGGUUGACGUACCGACAGAAUAG